Molecule: long non-coding RNA, 568 nt
Filed under: Phoenix dactylifera (date palm)
Lineage: Eukaryota; Viridiplantae; Streptophyta; Magnoliopsida; Arecales; Arecaceae
Description: long non-coding RNA (PDAC_LNC005454)
Source: RNAcentral
GUUCGUACUAGCAAGGUCUGGUCCAAACUCGGUUUGGGUGUGUGCCUAGCCACAGGGUAGUAGAUUAGAUGGAUUAAACUGAAUAAAAAUAACAUGGCUUCCAACCUAGAAAAUUUUGCAAAGCAACUUAGCUACACUUCUUUCCUGGAUGCUGCACUCCAGCCACAGAUGGGCAAUGCUUUAUGCCUCUGAGGUUUACCGUUUACGUGGCCGAAGAGUUAAGAGAGGGAAAACAGGGGACCUCCCAUAGGCGUGAGCCACAACACGCCAAGUGAAUGCGAAAUUGGAGAAAGGAACUUGCACGAAGACUCCCGUUUCUUAGCGUCAUGUUCCAUCCCCCUCUAUUAGUAUUAUACCAAUCAGUAACACCAAAGGCCUCUUAAAAAUCCCAACCUCUGUACCUUUUUAACUUUAUCUAACUAUGGAAAUACCAAUCAAACAACGAAUAAAGUUAUUCUUCGUUUAACUGAUUAGAGGAUGAAUACCGAUAGUUAAAGUUUUUUAAGGGGUGGUUAGCAAUUCAGCAUUCAAAGUACAGCCUGGAUGGCUAACUUUUUUCGCUCUCUUG